RNAcentral lists this ribosomal RNA (424 nucleotides) under uncultured eukaryote. RNAcentral's name for it is "bacterial SSU rRNA". It matches the Rfam family "Eukaryotic small subunit ribosomal RNA", at positions 592 to 1018 of the family's 1831-position model. The record is from RNAcentral.
CAAUAGCGUAUACUAACGUUGUUGCAGUUAAAAGCUCGUAGUUGGAUUUCUGUGUUGGUGAGGCGGCCGGCCAUUCGUGGUUGUAGCUAGUUAUCACCGGCGCAUCUUGUCACAAGCCACGCUGGCCUUAACUGGUUGGCGUUGGGGACUGACUCGUUUACUUUGAGAAAAUUAGAGUGUUCAAAGCAGGCUAUCGCCUUGAAUAUGUUAGCAUGGAAUAAUGAUAUAGGACUUUGGUUCUAUUUUGUUGGUUGUUCGAGAACCGAAGUAAUGAUUGAUAGGGACAGUUGGGGGCAUUCGUAUUUGUUAGUCAGAGGUGAAAUUCUUCGAUUUAACAAAGACGAACUAAUGCGAAGGCAUUUGCCAAGGAUGUUUUCAUUGAUCAAGAACGAAAGACAGGGGAUCAAAGACGAUUAGAUACCAU